UAAAACUUAGGUUAAAUUUUAAACUAGUGACUUUCAACAUCACAGACAAGAGAUAGAACUCUUAGUUUUAG
Molecule: transfer RNA, 71 nt
Filed under: Phrynocephalus luteoguttatus (yellow-speckled toad-headed agama)
Lineage: Eukaryota; Metazoa; Chordata; Lepidosauria; Squamata; Agamidae
Description: tRNA-Trp
Source: RNAcentral